This 548-nucleotide ribosomal RNA is filed under the name uncultured Pseudomonadota bacterium. Its description in RNAcentral is "bacterial SSU rRNA". It matches the Rfam family "Bacterial small subunit ribosomal RNA", at positions 355 to 896 of the family's 1533-position model. Lineage: Bacteria; Pseudomonadati; Pseudomonadota. The record is from RNAcentral.
UGGGGAAUUUUGGACAAUGGGCGCAAGCCUGAUCCAGCAAUGCCGCGUGCAGGAAGAAGGCCUUCGGGUUGUAAACUGCUUUUGUCAGGAACGAAAUGGCUCGGUCUAAUACCGGGGGAUGAUGACGGUACCGUAAGAAUAAGCACCGGCUAACUACGUGCCAGCAGCCGCGGUAAUACGUAGGGUGCGAGCGUUAAUCGGAAUUACUGGGCGUAAAGCGUGCGCAGGCGGUUUUGUAAGACAGAUGUGAAAUCCCCGGGCUCAACCUGGGAACUGCAUUUGUGACUGCAAAGCUGGAGUGCGGCAGAGGGGGAUGGAAUUCCGCGUGUAGCAGUGAAAUGCGUAGAUAUGCGGAGGAACACCGAUGGCGAAGGCAAUCCCCUGGGCCUGCACUGACGCUCAUGCACGAAAGCGUGGGGAGCAAACAGGAUUAGAUACCCUGGUAGUCCACGCCCUAAACGAUGUCAACUGGUUGUUGGGUCUUUACUGACUCAGUAACGAAGCUAACGCGUGAAGUUGACCGCCUGGGGAGUACGGCCGCAAGGUUG